Molecule: transfer RNA, 73 nt
Filed under: Ailuropoda melanoleuca (giant panda)
Lineage: Eukaryota; Metazoa; Chordata; Mammalia; Carnivora; Ursidae
Rfam family: tRNA
About the family: Transfer RNA (tRNA) molecules are approximately 80 nucleotides in length. Their secondary structure includes four short double-helical elements and three loops (D, anti-codon, and T loops).
Source: Rfam by way of RNAcentral
ACCUGGCUGGCUCAGCCAGUAGAGCACAUGACUCUUGAUCUCGGCGUUGUGAGUUCGAGCCCCGUGCUGGGUU